UUCAAAUAUUUGUGCAGGAGGGAACAGCCAAACAGGAAGCUCAAGAGCAGCCAUGGCCGGAAUAGAUCCACAGAGGCAACUCCUAAACCUAAUUCGAGAUUGCACCUCCGAGAAAUCACAAGGAGAGAGAAGGGUGGUUGGGCUAAGGAAGAGAGUUGAAGAGCUUCGAUCUGAGCUUGAAGCGGCAAAUGCGGAGCUCGAAGGAACAAAGCGGUUCAAAGAAACUACUGAGCAAGAUCUUAAAGGCUACGAAGUUGAACUGGCUAUGAACAUUGCUACUAUUCACACCCUAGAGGGAAGAAUUUCUCAGAUUCAAGAUGAAAUAUCCUCCAUUGGAUCGGAAGUAGAGCGUCUUAAGCAUGAAGAAAGGACCGCACGGCAAAUGUCUAUUGAAGUUCAAAAGAAAAAAAUUGGUAUGGUUGUAUUUAAUUCUGCUCCUAUGAUGCAUUCUUACUGUAUAUGCAGAGAUGCCUUUAUUUGCCAGAUGUUCGAGCUUAACACCAGGAUAAGGAACUUCCAGAACAGAAUAGCUUCCAACUUCUAUGAAGCAAAUAAUGUUGGAAGUGCAGAAGACAUUUCAGAAGCAGAUCAGAAAGUUUUAAUGGAGGUACCCAUGGAAACUGAUUCAAGAGCUUUAGAGGACGAGCUUGCUCUUCUUGUUUCUCAAAUAACUAAAGAGGAACAAGAAUACCUGGCAGAACAGAGUUUCCAAAAGCAAUUUCCUGUAGGUCCAGCAGGAAUAUGUGGAUCUUCAGAGGAAGGUUUCUUUGAUGGAGGUGAUAACAAAAGAAACAAAAGCACUGCAGGAUUUGAUUAGAUAUCCUUGCAAAUUUCCUAAUUGAGGUCUAGUUAAGAAAACAAGUAUGCAGUUUUUUUGGCAUUUAUGAUUAAUUUUUGAGAAUUGGUUCUUCAAGUAACAUGGGUUGUUGUGUCAUGUGAGUACUGCCACAAAUUUCUUUAACUUGAAACAAGCAGACUUCUGAAUUGGAACAAAUUUAUGCUUCUCUUGGUGAGCAGUUGCAGAAGAAGUGUGUGUGUCCCGGCUGUCAGACAGAUAAUGUAGAGUCUCUAAGGGGAAUUUUUCAGGCAGAUGAGCAAAUUCAUCUCGUGUAAGUAAUUUUGUUUGCUGUUGCUUUGUACUCACUGGAUAGUAUGGUCUCAAUUACAUUGGAGAAUGAUGAUAAUAAGGCCCUGUGUUCUAUGAAACUUUCUAUCAAAGACUUUGGACUAACAACUCAGAAAGUAUUAAACUGAUUACAUUAUUUUUAUGGUGUUUACCUG
Molecule: RNA transcript, 1281 nt
Organism: Manihot esculenta (cassava)
Lineage: Eukaryota; Viridiplantae; Streptophyta; Magnoliopsida; Malpighiales; Euphorbiaceae
Gene name: centrosome-associated protein CEP250
Exons: 9
Source: RefSeq, a predicted model, not a curated record